Molecule: ribosomal RNA, 288 nt
Filed under: uncultured bacterium
Lineage: Bacteria
Description: partial 16S ribosomal RNA
Rfam family: Bacterial small subunit ribosomal RNA
Source: RNAcentral
AGCGAACGCUAGCGGCGGGCUUAACACAUGCAAGUCGAGCGCUCUACUUCGGUAGGGAGCGGCGAACGGGUGAGUAACACGUAGGUUAUCUACCCUUUGGUGGGGAAUAACCCAGGGAAACUUGGGCUAAUACCGCAUACGGCCUUCGGGUCAAAGGCUUCGGCCGCCAGAGGAUGAGCCUGCGUCCCAUUACCUAGUUGGUAGGGUAACGGCCUACCAAGGGGACGAUGGGUAGCUGGUCUGAGAGGAUGAUCAGCCACACUGGGACUGAGACACGGCCCAGACUCC